Molecule: unclassified non-coding RNA, 1969 nt
Filed under: Leishmania donovani
Lineage: Eukaryota; Euglenozoa; Kinetoplastea; Trypanosomatida; Trypanosomatidae
Description: gene:LdHU3.23.1340(CDS-product:SET_domain_contain ing_protein_putative)
Source: RNAcentral
UGUUUCAGCGGAUGAAGGUCUCCCGCUUGUCGAGCAUAGCCAAGCUGGCAGCCAGCCCCCCCCCCCCCCCCCCCCCCAUUGUGAUUUUGCUGCCUCCACACGCUCCUGCACUGCGCCACCAUGGACCCCGCUGCAAAGGCUGCGAGUGAGCUGAACACCAUCUUUGGCCGCCUAGGGGUUCUGUGCGAGGUUUGCGUGACAAGCGCGGAAGGCAAACACGUGAAGGCGACCGCAAGCCUGGAGGAGGGCUUUGCACUGUUCGAGGAGCUGCCCAUUGUGUCAUGGCCGUCUCCUUCGCUGCUGGCGCUGUCCACUCCUUUCUGUUUCCAAUGCCUCUCUCUCAGCAGCCACCAACAAUCGGCUUCUGAGACAGACGCGGAAUCUCCAUCGCCCGCCAGUUCGGCUGCGCUUCCCAAGUCGUGGUCGCAGUGCGCUCACUGUGCGUCCUACUUCUGCUCUCCCGAGUGCCAGCAGGCCAGCUCACGCGUGCAUCGCUUGCUAUGUUCCUGUCUACCUGUAGUGCGGGAGAGCCACGUUGGCAGAGACGGGUCUGGCGAUGCUGAGGACGUCAAGCUGACGGCGACCCAGUCCCUCUCUUCCGCCCCCUCCUCGCUCGCGUCGUCCACGACAUCAUCCGAGAUUACCUUGGAGGCCCUCGCCCGCUGCGUCGCCUGGAUCACCCACCGCCUCUCCUACGUCAUUGAACAGCAGCAGCUAGCGCACGAAGUCCUCCAGGCAGACUACGUCUUUCAGCAGAAGCGGCAGGCUGGCGACUCUGCCCGUGGCGCCACCUGGUCCACCGCCUCCCUGAUCUAUCAACUCUUCACCCAAGUCGUCGCGCCGUUCAGCCGACUCAUCAGCCCGCCGGACAACGUGGAGUUCGACGGUGCGUCGCUCGCCUCCUGGAUGGCUAAGCUGCGCCUCUUGUUGGCCGAGCAGUGUGCCACGCAGCUACUCGUUGCCAGUGGUGCGCCGUUGUCCGAUGCUCGACGGCACACGCUGGUGUUCGACGAGCACCAGCAGCAGCAGGCGGUGCCGGCGCCGACUUUACUGUGGGCUGAGGCUCUUGUGCAGGUAAUCUUCAGCACCGACACGCUCCGAACCCUAGUUGGUCAGAUGGUGCUGAACGCGCACGCCAUCAACGACUAUGUGCUGCCGCCUGGCGAAGCGCUGUCCACUGGCGUGUUUGACUGGGUCUUGAAGGGUGCCGGCCUCUACUCCCUACUGUCGUGCUUCAACCAUUCCUGCGUGCCCAAUGCCGCCGUCAGCACCGUGGAUGGAACGCACGAGAUUGUGCUCAAGACGACGCGGCCCAUCCGGGCCGGCGAGCCGCUGACAAUCACUUACAUUCCGCUAACUGCCGGUGCCGCGUCCCGCGCGGAGCGGCAGCGGCGACUGAGGAACUACUUCUUCACCUGCCACUGCCCGCGGUGCGACGCGGAGGCGGCGGCGUCCGCUGCGUUGACCGGAGGCGGCAAUGCCGUCUAGACAUCUGCGCCAUUCAAUGCAGCAGAAUGUGGCGAGACGCUACUGCCCCGCCUUAUUUCCCGCAUAGCCGUUGGGUGUCUGCUCCCUCCGCCCUUGUGAGUCUCCUAGCACUGCCUUCAGCAGGGACUGUCAUUGCAUCGGUCAUCUGCGUGUUGCCGGUUGUAUGUGCUCCCUUAAGCCCCUACCCCUCCCCUGCCUCCCACUCACUUCGCCUGCCGCUUAAUCUCGAAGAAGGUGAUGUGACUCGCGUGUAAGGGACGGGAGGUAAAGCGUAAAGAGAAAAGAAAAGCACGAGACGAGAGAAUAAGCACGCGCGCAGAGACAUCGACGCAAGGCAUGUGAGCAUCACACACACACACACACACACACACACACGAAACCCCCAUCCUCCCUGAUCAAACAGAAAACAUAACUUUGAUUCACUCGCACGUGGUGCGCUUCCCCUCACUCUCCCUCCCUCUCUGCGUCUCGUCACUUCCCC